CAGCGCAGGAAGUGAGACCGUCUCACCCACGUGACCAGCGUCCCACCGUGGGUCACAAGGCGCGUCCAGACCCAGAGUCCUGCUCCUGCUUCUGUCGUGUACUUGCUGCCUGAGUUGGAUCGAGGAGUUGGUAGCAGAGAGGUUAAGAAGCGUGUUCAUCUAAGCAGCGGGCACGAACCCACUCUCCUACUUAGCGUGUUGUUCUGAGAGAUGUGCCGUCCGCUACGUGCCCGCGGAGCAGGGGGGCUGUGAUGGGCUCGGGUGAAUAACCCCGGGGGCCGGCGGGGAGCUGCGGGCCCUCCCUGGGGAAGGAGGUCGGUGCCCUGGCAGGAGGGCUGUUCUCUCAGGAACCUCGUCCACAGGAUGGAGCGAGGCGGGAAUCUGAGGUUGGGCCAUCACGUGGGUCACCUCGUCUCACCAGCCACGCAGGGGCUCCCUGGGCACAAGGAGCGCGUCCUGAGCCCCAGCCCCAGGCAGGAAGCCCGGCCAGAGAAACUCUGUCAGCUCUGGCCUGUCGGCCGGUGAGGGACGCUCCAGCUCGCUCUGGUGGAGCCUGUCCACCUUCCAGCUCAGCCACCGAGCCGGGAACACAGGGAAGGCUUCCUCCCUCUCGGGUCACAGAGCUGGCCCAGGCCACCGUGCCCUGCUGCAGCAAGGACCCCCGGUACGGCGACGGCCCGCAAAGAGGAGAGGUCGCCCUGGUCCCCGACACCUGCCCCUGCUGCCGGUCGAUGCUCUGCCACCGUGAGGGGAGAGCCAGCCAGGUCGAUGCACUGCCGGAGGGUUCACGGGCCGCCUGGACGAGCCGGGCCCGUGGUCGGGGCUCGGCCCGCCCAGCCCAGCGCGAGACACCCCUGACCCGGCCGACACCCCCAAAUCCACCCACGGCCACCACUGCGGCCCCAGCGGCUCCGUCCUUCGGGGCCUUCGAAGUGACCUCCUGACUCACCUCCCCUGUCACUGUGGCCCUCCUGCCGUGUGUCCGGGGAGACCCCGGGGGUGGCCCCGACCUGCCCCCCGCUCCAGAGGCUGACCCUGGCAGGACACUCAGACGCCC
RNAcentral lists this long non-coding RNA (1057 nucleotides) under Felis catus (domestic cat). RNAcentral's name for it is "lncRNA (ENSFCAG00000052366.1)". Lineage: Eukaryota; Metazoa; Chordata; Mammalia; Carnivora; Felidae. The record is from RNAcentral.